RNAcentral lists this ribosomal RNA (468 nucleotides) under uncultured bacterium. Its description in RNAcentral is "partial 16S ribosomal RNA". It matches the Rfam family "Bacterial small subunit ribosomal RNA", at positions 28 to 507 of the family's 1533-position model. The record is from RNAcentral.
GACGAACGCUGGCGGCGUGCUUAACACAUGCAAGUCGAACGGAAAGGCCCUGCUUUUGUGGGGUGCUCGAGUGGCGAACGGGUGAGUAACACGUGAGUAACCUGUCCUUGACUUUGGGAUAACUUCAGGAAACUGGGGCUAAUACCGGAUAGGAGCUCCUGCUGCUUGGUGGGGGUUGGAAAGUUUCGGCGGUUGGGGAUGGACUCGCGGCUUAUCAGCUUGUUGGUGGGGUAGUGGCUUACCAAGGCUUUGCCGGGUAGCCGGCCUGAGAGGGUGACCGGCCACAUUAGGACUGAGAUACGGCCCAGACUCCUACGGGAGGCAGGGGUGGGGAAUAUUGCACAAUGGGCGGAAGCCUGAUGCAGCAACGCCGCGUGCGGGAUGACGGCCUUCGGGUUGUAAACCACUUUCGCCUGUGACGAGGCGUGAGUGACGGUAAUGGGUAAAGAAGCACCGGCUAACUACGUG